RNAcentral lists this ribosomal RNA (485 nucleotides) under uncultured Pelotomaculum sp. RNAcentral describes it as "bacterial SSU rRNA". It matches the Rfam family "Bacterial small subunit ribosomal RNA", at positions 897 to 1382 of the family's 1533-position model. The record is from RNAcentral. Lineage: Bacteria; Bacillati; Bacillota; Clostridia; Eubacteriales; Desulfotomaculaceae.
AAACUCAAAGGAAUUGACGGGGCCCGCACAAGCGUGGAGCAUGUGGUUUAAUUCGACGCAACGCGAAGAACCUUACCAGGGCUUGACAUCCCCUGACCGCGUAUGAAAGUACGUUUUCACCCUCGGGUGACAGGGAGACAGGUGGUGCAUGGUUGUCGUCAGCUCGUGUCGUGAGAUGUUGGGUUAAGUCCCGCAACGAGCGCAACCCCUACGUUUAGUUGCUAACGCGUGAAGGCGAGCACUCUAGACGAACUGCCGUUGACAAAACGGAGGAAGUGGGGAUGACGUCAAAUCAUCAUGCCCCUUAUGUUCUGGGCUACACACGUGCUACAAUGGCCGGUACAGACGGACGCAAAGCCGCGAGGUGGAGCAAAUCCUAAAAAGCCGGUCUCAGUUCGGAUUGCAGGCUGCAAUUCGCCUGCAUGAAGUCGGAAUCGCUAGUAAUCGCAGGUCAGCAUACUGCGGUGAAUACGUUCCCGGGCCUU